This 26-nucleotide small RNA is filed under the name Arabidopsis thaliana (thale cress). RNAcentral describes it as "ATSL014540". Lineage: Eukaryota; Viridiplantae; Streptophyta; Magnoliopsida; Brassicales; Brassicaceae. The record is from RNAcentral.
UUUUUUUUUGGUUUUUUUUCUCGUAU